RNAcentral lists this ribosomal RNA (497 nucleotides) under uncultured bacterium. RNAcentral describes it as "partial 16S ribosomal RNA". It matches the Rfam family "Bacterial small subunit ribosomal RNA", at positions 28 to 507 of the family's 1533-position model. The record is from RNAcentral.
GAUGAACGCUGGCGGCGUGCCUAAUACAUGCAAGUCGAGCGAACAGACGAGGAGCUUGCUCCUCUGACGUUAGCGGCGGACGGGUGAGUAACACGUGGAUAACCUACCUAUAAGACUGGGAUAACUUCGGGAAACCGGAGCUAAUACCGGCUACUAUAUUUAACCGCAUGUUUCAAUACUGUAAGACGGUUUUGCUUUCCCUUAUCGAUGGAUCCGCGCCGCAUUAGCUAGUUGGUAAGGUAACGGCUUACCAAGGCAACGAUGCGUAGCCGACCUGAGAGGGUGAGCGGCCACACUGGAACUGAGACACGGUCCAGACUCCUACGGGAGGCAGCAGUAGGGAAUCUGCCGGAAUGGGCGAAAGCCUGACGGAGCAACGCCGCGUGAGUGAUGAAGGUCUUCGGAGCGUAAAACUCUGUUAUUAGGGAAGAAAAAAUGUGUAAGUAACGAUGCACGUCUUGACGGUACCUAAUCAGAAAGCCACGGCUAACUACGUG